UACAUGGGGUGCAAACGUUGCUCGGAAUCACUGGGCGUAAAGGGCGCGUAGGCGGUGUUUUAAGUCGGGGGUGAAAGCCUGUGGCUCAACCACAGAAUGGCCUUCGAUACUGGGACGCUUGAGUAUGGUAGAGGUUGGUGGAACUGCGAGUGUAGAGGUGAAAUUCGUAGAUAUUCGCAAGAACACCGGUGGCGAAGGCGGCCAACUGGACCAUUACUGACGCUGAGGCGCGAAAGCGUGGGGAGCAAACAGG
This 253-nucleotide ribosomal RNA is filed under the name uncultured bacterium. RNAcentral describes it as "partial 16S ribosomal RNA". It matches the Rfam family "Bacterial small subunit ribosomal RNA", at positions 524 to 776 of the family's 1533-position model. The record is from RNAcentral.